CUGAAACCAUUCCACGGUGCCAAUAAGGACGCGGAUCUCAGGACGUGCAGGACGAGGCAGCGCAGCAAGGACACAGAGUGAAGCACAUUUUAAUGAGGGGACGCAGAUAAAGAGUGAACAGACGCGUAGACAGCGAGAAGAAAAUCAGCAGUAUCCAGUAUUUCAUCGGGUAAGUAAUCAAACUAACCCUCAAUUCAACCAUGACUGAAAGGUUGUAUCAAGUUGUAUUGUAAAAACUUGCUUGAGUGCAUCUCGGUUUUUUUUUUAAAUGUUCUGUUAAAGCUUCACAUAGGUCAUGAUUUAUUGUUCGAAUAAACAGAUAACCUCGUAUGUGAUCUUCUCUUAUCAAACAGCUUAAGUGUGAGAAGAGGAGGUGUGUGUUUGUGGGAGGGUGCCUGAUUAUGACACUGUCUGGCAACGCAUGGAAGACACUAUUACUGACAACAGCCUGCCACACUCGAUUAUUUACGCGUGAAUAAGUCACCAAUUCUUCUUCUUAUCUUUCUUCUGCGUUAAUUAGCAGCAAGAUUUAUGGUCCAAUAAUGCGAUUUAUAAGCAUGUUUAACCUCAUGCUACCAACUUUAACACAUUUCAAUAGCCUAGACAAGGAGGAAACGCCACCGCCCCUUUCGCACAGCUUAAAGUUGUUCAAGGAGACAGAGACACGAGUGAUGCGCGCAGUGCUCCAGAUGAAAGCUCAGAUUAGCCCGUCUGGCGUAGUCCGAGCAUUUCAUUCAAACUUCCACCUGUACGCGCGCACAGGACUCCACCUCACACACUCUGUACCUGUAGCAUAGGCGCAAGGAGAUUUAACAAUCCGGUUAGGGAACUUCUUUAAAUAACAAGUUCAGGCAUGGGAAAGCGUUAAGUGUCGUGAAAGUUGUUUAUGAUUCAUAAAAAGCAUAAACCAGUAAUGAAAAGACGUUUCUCGUUGUACAAGUGCUAGCAUGUAAGAGGAAGAUUGUUUACAACACUGGAUUUCUUACAAAUUUCAACUUAACUUAGAGUACCAAGUUAUUAUCUUUAUUUUUUUUUGUUAUUUUCUUAGAAGUUUGAGUUACUAAGUCCAAAAAAUUGAGAUAACAAUCCAACAUUUUGGCUAUUUUAUUUAUUUAUUUAUUUAUUGUAGUGGCAAAAAUAAACAGCCAUAAAACAUGUUAGAGGAAAUUAAAAACAGAAAUCAUCAAAGAUUUCUUUUUUUUUUUUUUUGUAAGAAAAAACCUCUUAUUUGAAAUAUAGUUCAACAGUUACAUAAAUGUUACAUCAAAAAGAGGACUUGUUUCAUAAAGGUGCAGCAUCAGCGUCUCAUAGACACUGAAAUAAAACAUGUUGAGUUACUAGCUGGCUAGCAUGUUGACGUGACAUGAGAUUUUCCAUCUAUUUGGUGUAAUCAUGCAAGUUAAUUUUAUGAAAAAUAUAUUUUGCAGUGUUUAAGAAUUAGUUCAAAUAUGACAUUUAGAUCGAGUACUAGGCCCACUGCACUUUUCAACAGGAGCCGCUCGGGCAUAGAAACCCAUGAAGCUCCCAGCUGAUAGUUUAGUGCUGAUGUUAAUGCCAGAGAAAGUUUUGGAAGUUUAUUGACCCCACUUUGUAACUUUACGUGGUUUGACACUCCCUGGCUGAGUUGCUGUGGCUCUAAAAUGCUUCCACUUUGCAAAAACACAACAUAUGUUUUUAAAUGUGGAAUAUCUAGAAUGGAAGAAAUUUCACAAAUUGAUAUUUUAUAGUGGUAACACCCAUGCUCAAAUCCAUCUGGAUGAGAUUAAUUUGAGCAUCUUUACAUUCCUUUGUUUGAUUUAUGAGCAGCUGAAUAGCUGACAGAUUUCUGUGGAGUUAAAAACAACUUGUCUCGUGAAUACAGAGAGAAGUAGAGGUUUAAAAUGAGCGGGCCUAUCACUGCCUGAUCCGUCUUUUCUUUGAAUAUUCAAGGGAAGAUGUUCUAAAAGCUGUUUUAUCCUCCAUCUCUGAUGAAUAUGAAUAAAAGCUGACUGCAUGCUGCUACGAAUGCACACAGAGACAUCUGCAGGUAGACGUGCACAGAGUGUGCGUCAUCCAGUCUGGAAAGUCUGUAUGGAGCUUUGUGGCAGGCAGACUGGCCUUUUUAACUUUUAUUUUUAUUUUUUUUAAAUAAAACUCCUGGGACUGACUGGAAAAGGUCAGGCCCAGUCCCAGCUGAGUGGAAGUGUGGGAAGAUCGUUAUCAUGUUCCUGCAUGAAAAUGUGCUUUGAAGAGUGCAGACAGAGAGGAUCGGUGGCAUUUGUGGAGGGUACAAAAUAUAUGAAGGGAUCAGAUUUAAUUUAGCUUAAGUUUCAUAAUUAUUCUGUUAUGUUUCGUCAACGACACACACUCACACGCACAUGCACAGACAUGUGCUUUAAAUGAUGUGACACAAUACUGGCAUAGAUUGUGAGCCAGAAGCCGCUCGCUAAUGUUUCUCGGAGGGAUUGCGCAACCUUCAGCUUCACCAGCAAAGCGGCGCUAAUUGAACAAGUAAAACUGCAUUAUUUAGGAGCGGCAUGUUAACCACAUAAGCUGCCUGCAGGCUGAACUCUCCGCUGUGACAAACAGGCAUGGGAUCCUAACAGUCACAAACCCUUUCCCCACUUUUCCUCAUCACUCCUAUCCUCCUUUUGUGACUGUAAGCCUUUUUUAAAAAUAAUUUAUGAUGAUGUUUUUCUUAGUCGCCUUCCUUUUCUGCUCUUUCUCAUCCCAUCCUCAGCCUUCUUUAUUUUGUCCUUUUCCUUAAGUGCUUUUCCUCUUGCCCCCUCCCUUCUUUGUGUGUGUGUCUGUGUGUGCCAUCUGAGGUUGUUUUUCUUUUUCAUGCUCCCAGGCCUACUGUGUGCUGCCAGACCCCCACAGCCAACCAAGAUCUGUGCCCAAAAUUCCUCACUACUGACCAGCCCUUCAUAUUGUGUGCGCAUUUGUGUGUGUGUAUGAAACUGGUUCAAACUCUGUACUGUCCCUGUUCCCGUGCUAUACUGUGAUUUCCCAGAACCUCUAAAUUGACCUAAACAUAAUGGAGUCACUGUGCGUGUAGAUGGCAUAAGGUUUCAGAGCCACACCUGACUGAAAUGCAGAUGGGAGGAGUAUCAGAUGGUUGGAAAUAGAGGAGGAAAAAACGCUUGUACUGUGAGAAUUUGUCAAGAAACAGGGUGGCUGUGAAAUUAGUGUCAGAGUUUCACACUUAGUGGACACAUACCUCCCCCAUUGGCUUGUCUGUGACGGGGUGUAGCAGCUCUGAGACCGUGGGUAUGUGCGAGCUGUCACGUCUGCCUCACUGAGUCAGGCAGCACGACCAGUCAGCAGUAAAUAGUUGUCGGGGCGGGGGUUUUGGGGGGUUGUAUAUUUACCCAGGAUUGCCUUUCUUUAUGUUGCAAUCACAGUUUACAGUUUGCGAUCAGAUAUCUAAACGUGCCUCUGGGAUGAAUAAACGGUGAAUUUAUCAAACUAAAAGAGGUUUCCCCAUCAGAGUGACGAGGUUUACUUCAGACAGAGGUGGGAGGAUUAGGAUCAAACCUGCUCUGAUCAUAAAUAUUGUGACUAACUGGCUGAAGGUUUAAUUCCAAUAAAAAAAAAACACACCCAAAUGCAAAUAAGGAGCUGAUUAUUACUGUAUCCCUUUAAACGAAUUGUGGGGUUGGGCACUCAUGUCAUAAUGAGGAUGUCAAUGUACACUUUAAGCCCUGCAUGACUGUUUAAAAAGGUGUACAUCAUAUAAGAGAUAUCAUAUAUAACCAUAUUUAAUGAAAAAAAAGCUCAGCAUUUAAAAAAUAAUAUUGAUAAAUUCAGCUUUUCAUCUUUAGCCAACCAUGACAAAACAAUUAUACUGCAGGUCUCUGGACACUGAAGUCUGAAGCUCCCUGUCCAUCCAUCAUCGAUCCUACAAAGACAUCACACCCGGAGAAAAUCGUGCCUGCUUUGUGUCACAUCUUGCAUCCUUUUUGCUUCACUUUGUGGGUUUUUGUGUGCAAAUAUUUGCAGUUGUGCAACCCUUAAACAUCAAUUUUUCCCUUCUUCUGCUUUUGUCAAUUUGUAAAGACCCCAAAGGGAAGUAAAACAUCUACCAGUGCAGAUGCCAGUUAUUCAUUCCAUACUUCACUGUUGCCCUUCAAUUGUACCUCAAAAGAAUUACUGUAAUCAUUACUGAUAGGAAAUCUUGCUAAGUGGUUAGAUGGUAUUAUUCCUUUAUGUAUUUUAUCUGAAAGUGCAGUAAAUAUCUCCUCAGUUUCCAGUUUGUCUGGUAACAGUUAAAUGUGAACAUUUAUUAGACUGGCAUGUGAGGAAUGAGCGCUUGCACUUCUCUGCACAGCUACAAUAGAAACUGUCAACGUCCAUCAGCUCCUUCUGCUCCAUUUCACCUGACCUAUUUCUUAACCUGAUUAGCCUAAAAUAAAUACCUUUUUUCUUUCUAAGCAGCUACAGCUCUGUGCCGUCAUGUGACCCUUUAUCUCCCCACUGCAGAAAGGCGGACAGUCCGCAGGGAAAUCAUGAAUUUGACAGACAUGUCUGGGUCGAGCUCUGCAGAUAGGUCGAGGUUGAGCAGCUGUUUUUUUUUUUUUUUUUAAAGUUUGAUUUUUGCUCUUCAAUAUCAGUUAAAACAACAGAUUUAGAGGCAAAUUUGAGAAACUGAAGUUUUUGCUGAUAUGAGAUAUGAGGCUGUCAGCUGUGACGUGCCUACAUCAGACGACCUCUGUGUAAAAUGUCUUUGCUUGUCAAAAGAGAGCUUAUCAUUCGCCCUGGCUGCUGUAGUGCACUGACGUCCUGUUCCAGGAUUAGACGGCGUGGAGGGUGGUGGUGAUGGAGUGGUAAAUAGUGACUGAGUGGUUGGUUGCUGGGCCGCCGUGCCAUUCGGUGAUACUGUCAGCUUACAUUAAGCGGUCGCGCUGGUGAAGCGCAGCAUCAUAAUUCCAUUAAACGGUGACCUGGUGAGGAGACGAUGAACUGUCAGCAGAGCUGCUGUGGCUGUGAUGAGGCGGCUUAAGUGCGAGCUGUGGAAGAAGUGUUGUCACGAUGGUUUAACUCGGCUUACUUCAUAUUUGAGAGAAAGCUCGUGGAAGAUUUGCGUACUUUCCAAUCAGCUCACUUAUAUUUAUGUCUUUCUUCACUUCUUUCUCUCCUCAGGCAUCUCUAUCAUGGGUGUGAAGAUGUUACAGUGCUUUCCCUUCUACAGACGCUGCAAAGAGCGCUGCAAGAGCAGGCAGUGCCCGCCCCCUCCAGUGCCUGUGGAGGAGAUGAAGCCACGUCUGUCCUCUACGACAUCCUGGGGCAGUGACAGCGAAGGAACAGGAAGCAUCAAUCGGGGUUCCCAGAUCUAUUUCUCCACCAAGGCCCGGCUUUCUUUCAGACACCAGCUGGACAGCAACAUCAAUGCAGUGGAUGCCACCUACUGAGGAAGACCCAGGGCUUCAUAGGACUUGAAUGGACUCAGUUUUCCAUCGCCGGUUUAUGCUUGGAGCCCGCUAGUAGAGCAAACACAUUUUGACGCCACCUUUAAAUGGGAAUGGCGGUAGAGUUGCGGAACCACAGUUUGUCUUUUAACUGCUUGUUCCUCGCUGCUCGCACACAACUGCUAAUGAUUCGUCAGAUUCAAAGGACAGAGGGAAAAGGACUGGGAUGAGACGGCGCUCAGAAGUCAGACGAGUAGAUCCGCUGCCCAAUCGGGCAUACUGAUGAGGGCGAGGACAAUGUAGAGAGUUGUUUACAGCGUUCACUACCAAUAAGUGCAUUACUUUGUCUUCUGUUUGGAAGGUGUUUUUUUUUUCUUACUGUGUUUCUUUUAUAUUUCUUUUUUUUUUUUGACUACCUUUGUAGAAAAAGAUCAAUUUGCUGAUUAGAUCAUGGCUGGAGUUAAUUAAGGCUGUUUCACAAAGCAAGAGGAGGAAGAUAGCAUUGAGUGUGAUGAAGUGUGUGACUAUCUAAACCUCAUCAUUAAGUCAUCAUCGUGAAGUAACUUUCUAAUCCUGCUCUGUGACACAGAACCCUGCUAGUUUAAAGUGAGAUAAUAAAACAGAAAAUGGUUUGCUGUUUUAUAAAAGACAUUAACUGUAAAAACAUGAGGUGGGACUGUGUGCAACAUCUGCUGACCAGGUCUGAGCCUGUUUAACAGCAGUGUUGUUAAUAGUUAAUAUUCAUCUGUGAGAUCUACGGUGGCCCUGAUACUUCAGAAAGGCUUGCUGAAAUCCAGUUGUGUUGUGCACCACAGGGCAACCGUAUGAAAUAAGCCGAGCUACACAGCAGCUUAUUUCUGAUAGGUAUUUUCUUAGUCUUGCUUGAUUCUGAUCAAUAUUUUUAAUUAGAAAAAAAGACGCUCUGGCUGUGUUUUUAAAUUGCACGUUUUUUGUUUUUUUUUUUUUUGUAAGAAAACCUUUCUGUAUUUGCCCAAAUUGAAAAACUAUGACUGUUAAAUGCUGAUCAAAAAAAAAAAAAGACUAAUGAUCACUUGUUCAAAUCCAGAGUAUGUCAAAAAUAUCUUCAUUCUAAACUAAGCAAAUAUAAAAUAAGUUGUAACAAAAUGUCUCCGGUGUGUUUUUUUUGGGCUGGGGGAUAUAUUGCUUGACAAUGUUGUGAAGACACAAGGAUACCAAAUAUUGGCAUUUUCUAAAAACUAAAUUCAAAUACUCCAGGAAUGCUACAAACAAGAGGGCUCCUCUCGUGCACGACCAUCUGCAAAAAACGUCACCCAAGAAAACUCGCGGUUCAACACUGGACACUGACCUUAACAAAGCUGCUUCCUAACUCAGAAUAAGCUCAGGCACAUGAGCUCAACUCGACUGGCUGCCUAUUGUUUGUUUUCUGGUUAUAUUACUAUGGAACAGGAAGUUUAC
Astatotilapia calliptera (eastern happy) is the source of this 6824-nucleotide long non-coding RNA. The record is from Ensembl. Lineage: Eukaryota; Metazoa; Chordata; Actinopteri; Cichliformes; Cichlidae.